RNAcentral lists this ribosomal RNA (380 nucleotides) under uncultured eukaryote. RNAcentral's name for it is "partial 18S ribosomal RNA". It matches the Rfam family "Eukaryotic small subunit ribosomal RNA", at positions 592 to 976 of the family's 1831-position model. The record is from RNAcentral.
CAAUAGCGUGUAUUAAAGUUGUUGCAGUUAGAACGCUCGUAGUCGGAUUUCGGGGCGGGCCGACCGGUCUGCCGAUGGGUAUGCACUGGUCGGCGCGUCCUUCCUUCCGGAGACCGUCCCUACUCUUAACUGAGCGGGGGCGGGAGACGGGACUUUUACUUUGAAAAAAUCAGAGUGUUUCAAGCAGGCAGCUCGCUCUUGCAUGGAUUAGCAUGGGAUAAUGAAAUAGGACUUUGGUGCUAUUUUGUUGGUUUCGAACACCGAAGUAAUGAUGAGAAGGGACAGUCAGGGGCACUCGUAUUCCGCCGAGAGAGGUGAAAUUCUCAGACCAGCGGAAGACGAACCACUGCGAAAGCAUUUGCCAGGGAUGUUUNCACUGA